AAUUUUACACCACGUUCGAGUAGUAUGCAAGGCACCAUUUCUUGAUCUAAAUAAAGACGUAAACCCUUGCGGUAGUGUAUCGCUAAGAAGUGAGUUUAUUUAGUAAUAGUGUAAUUACUGAGCUGGAAAAAAUGAAUAUAUCUCUCGAAUAUGCAAUUCUGACGAUAUCAGUGCUGGAUUAAAAACUAUUCAUUGACUAGAUUCUUAAUAAAGUUAAAAGCAACGGGAUCACCCACAAACGAUCUCAUGCUUAUCAUUUGUAACUUUGAAUAUCUAUCUAUUAGAUUAGGCUGAUUGAGUAAUGUCUUAUACUAUGGCUUAGUUCGAACAGGCUAGCUGCUUCCAAUCAAUACUUUAUUAGCAAGUUUGUUAUUACAUAUCUAUUUUAUAAAAAACAAAAAAAUCAUCUAAACUAGUCAAAAUUCCUUACUAAUUUGUAAUACAGAACACUAGCUUAACUUCUACGAAUACUUGAAAAGGAGGCUUAACCGUUAAAGCACAUAUCAACUUUCGGAACUUUAAUAUUCUAUAAAACUAAAUGAUAGAAUACAUACCUUCCACUUGGUUCCACUUUUAACUCUUAAAGAAAUGCUUUUGAGUAAUC
Molecule: non-coding RNA, 604 nt
Organism: Schizosaccharomyces pombe (fission yeast)
Lineage: Eukaryota; Fungi; Ascomycota; Schizosaccharomycetes; Schizosaccharomycetales; Schizosaccharomycetaceae
Source: the annotation of a GenBank genome assembly